Molecule: long non-coding RNA, 252 nt
Organism: Symphalangus syndactylus (siamang)
Lineage: Eukaryota; Metazoa; Chordata; Mammalia; Primates; Hylobatidae
Source: RefSeq, a predicted model, not a curated record
UUUAUCAGGGGUUUCUGCUUUUGCUUCUUCCUCAUUUUCUUUUGCCGCUGCCAAGUAAGAAGUGUCUUUCACCACCCCCAUGAUCCUGAGGCCUCCUAGCCAUGUGGAACUCUCCUGGCUCCCUCAGGAUCUGAACACUCAGGGUCAUGCUGUUGCUGCCCAAGCAGGAAAAUUCUGUUUCUGAAAAUCCCAAACAACAAACAGCUCCCCUACAGGGCUCACGGAAGAGGAGAAGAAACACACACAGAGGAC